CUCCGCAGCCGCCUCCCCCGAUCCCUCCGCAGCGAGCCAAUCUCGCAGCCGCCUCCCUUGCUUCCUUCGCAGCCGCCUUCCCCGCUCCCUCCGCACCUCGUCCCCUGAGCCCGUUCCCCUCCUUCUCUGCUCUCCACUAUGUCUAUGCCGCCUCCUCCUCUCUCACUUUUCUCUCCGGUGGCGGUGCCAAAAGAAGGCGCACAUGAGCGGUGGAUCCGUGCCGGAGAAGAGCUGCGGGGACUGCGCUUCGGUCGCGGUGGGGUGCAGCUGCUGGGAAGACGCUCACAGCCGCCAAAGAAGGCACACACGGGCGGUGGAUCUGCGCUUCGGUCGCGGUGGGUGCAGCGGCGGGGAAGACGAACUAGGUCCGUCGCCCAUCUUCACCUCCUCGCCGCGUCCUUGCUGCCUCCAUGGCCAAGCGCACAUAUUUUUUUCUGUCCCUCCAUGGCGCUCGUUGCCGGCGGCAUCUCGAGGAACAUGUGACCUCCAUGGUGCUAGCUGCCGCUCUGAAUAGACAGGCUGGACGCAACGCACACGGUCUAGGAAGGCCACGGCAUGACUGUGUGAUGCAGUGAGGGCAACAACGACAACGGAGGAAUCUAUCCUCGUCUAGCUCCCACCCAGGCGGAGAGUUCGAGGACAUCUCCCAGUUAGCGGGGGAGAGUCGAGCACAUGUCAGCUCUUUCUUUUCCUUUCCUUAUGUUCCCAUGAUGACCUGGGAUUACCUGCAAUUACUCAAGUGAUUAGUUAUGACCUGUAGUAUCUAGACCUUAUUUGGUUUGGUCCAUUUAGCAUUGAUCAUCCAUUUUUCUAAAUUUAUUGGUAUUUUUAGUAUGCAAUUUGCUUUCUUGGUUUAGUCGCUUGUAAUUAGUGUACAUGCAUGUAACUUGUCCCUGUUAGCUUUUGUUUUUGCAGGUUACCGGUUGAUUUUUUGUGUUCAAACUAUUUUUGUGUUCUUUUAUUAUCAAUUGUAGGUGCUGCUUCUAUCUUCUGGAAGUUAACUGCAUUUUUCCUUCUAAAGUCCUCAGACCAGGCUGUCAUUGACAAAGAAAGGAGAGGAGACUACUUGGGGAAAACCGUCCAGGUUGUGCCACAUAUCACAGAUGAAACUUAGGAUUGGAUCGAACGCGUGGCAAUAAAGCCGGUUGACGGGAAAGAAGGGCCUCCUGAUGUUUGUGUGAUAGAACUCGGUGGAACUAUAGGCGAUAUUAAAUCAAUGCCUUUUAUUGAAGCAUUAGGUCAAUUUUCAUACCGUGUAGGACCUGGAAAUUUCUGCCUGGUCCAUGUCAGCCUUGUUCCAGUACUAAAUGUAGUUGGUGAGCAGAAAACUAAGCCUAAUUAAGGUAAUCCCUCGGCCAAAACAAAUUGGAGGGGAAGAUCGUCAAGGAUGAUUUUUGUCAUGGGUCAUGCUUCAAGAAAAGCAGGCUGGACUUACAUCUAUUUGGAAUAUUUAGAUGGCCAAGGUCCAAGAGUAUCAAGUUGCAGUGUUGCAAGGUAUACCCUGCCUUGGAGAAAGGCAUUCUGUGGUCUGCUUCGACAGGUUACAUGUAGUUUUCCCACUGCUUCUCCUAAUUAUGCCCAAUGCCAAAACCAGACAGAAAAGAGUGGGCACUAUUAGUUUUACUUUCUUAUCUGCUAUCAUAUUUUAUUCUUUACAGAGCAUCAAAUCUGAGAUCAAUCCAAUUUUGACACCCAUUAAUGAUGAAUUCAUGUUAUGAUUUACAAAAUAUAAAAUCUAAAAUGACAUGGUUUUAGAAAGUUGGGUGGGUUGAAAGAACCAAACCGUUUCAAGUUACACGUCUUCUCUGUCGUGGGCUAAAGGCUCUAUAUGUUUGCCUCGAUGAAUUUUCGAAAGAAAAUACAGUAUGCCUUUAUUUACCAUGGAUUGAUGGAGCUCACGUGUGUUUUCAUUGGUUUUUUAAAUGAUUUCUUAAGCGGCCUUUUAUGAUUGCGCACUAUUUGAUUUAAUUGGGCGUGAAGGGUAGCUCUUUUGAGUGCAUGUUUGGAAUAUGCAGUAUGGUGAAUGGUGCCGGAAAUAACUCUAUCCUGGCAAGAUGUGAGUCCCCGCUGUCCAGUCACUAUACAACAAUGAGGUGGUGUUGGAAACUAUGAAUUUAGCUUUCUCUUAAUUUUCUAAUUAUAGAGGUGCAUUUAAUUUGGAGCCUCGAUGAUGUCUAUAUCUAAAAGUUGUUUUUGUGUGUAUUAUGAUCCCCCGUCAGAACAAGAAUAGUAUACAUUUACUGUUUUCGACCAUAACUCAUUGAGUGAAAUUGCAAGCAUUCACAACUGUUCACCAGUUAGAAUUUCAAAGAGGGUUUUAUAUAGGCCCUAUUUUCAUUUUGAUCUGUCCAUGACAUCCUUGCAUUAAUAUUGUAUGAUAUUGAUUAUUCAUUUUCAGAUGUUCUACUCAGUGUAAUGCUACAUGUAUGUGCUUAUUAGGUCAUCCUACUAUUUGUAAUACAAUUCACAUUGCAUUAUAUUUUUAUUUACAUCUCUCUACUUAUUCACUAAUAACAUUGCUUCUAACUGGCUUCUUACGUCAUUGGCGCAACCGCAGUUAUCUACACGCCACCUGUCGCAUCAUGCUAGGAACCCACAAGAGAGCUACAAUAACAACCAACUGGUCUAAGUUUUGCCGCCUUGCAAAAAUCCAUGAAGGAGACAUCCGUGCCUUUCGUUUCAAGGUCACCACAAAGCAGCGUCUGGUUCUCAUUGUGCAUUGCCUUUAGAUAAACUAUCGACAACAAUGAAAGUUGUAUCUAAAUAUCAUCUAGCAUUCUAAGGACUGCUAAUCAAGCUCUAUGAUACGAUGAAACCUUCCUCUGUUUUUCGACGAUGCUAUUUGUUGCUUUUGAACAACUACCACCUAUGAUUUUAACUA
This is a long non-coding RNA of Triticum dicoccoides, 2881 nucleotides long. RefSeq lists it as uncharacterized. The record is from RefSeq and is a predicted model, not a curated record. The transcript is spliced from 8 exons. NCBI's taxonomy places the organism in Eukaryota, Viridiplantae, Streptophyta, Magnoliopsida, Poales, Poaceae.